RNAcentral lists this ribosomal RNA (460 nucleotides) under uncultured bacterium. Its description in RNAcentral is "partial 16S ribosomal RNA". It matches the Rfam family "Bacterial small subunit ribosomal RNA", at positions 338 to 795 of the family's 1533-position model. The record is from RNAcentral.
CCUACGGGAGACUGCAGUGAGGAAUAUUGGUCAAUGGACGAGAGUCUGAACCAGCCAAGUAGCGUGAAGGAUGACUGCCCUAUGGGUUGUAAACUUCUUUUAUAUGGGAAUAAAACGUUCCACGUGUGGGAUUUUGUAUGUACCAUAUGAAUAAGGAUCGGCUAACUCCGUGCCAGCAGCCGCGGUAAUACGGAGGAUCCGAGCGUUAUCCGGGUUUAUUGGGUUUAAAGGGAGCGUAGGUGGAUUGUUAAGUCAGUUGUGAAAGUUUGCGGCUCAACCGUAAAAGUGCAGUUGAAACUGGCAGUCUUGAGUACAGUAGAGGUGGGCGGAAUUCGUGGUGUAGCGGUGAAAUGCUUAGAUAUCACGAAGAACUCCGAUUGCGAAGGCAGUUCACUGGACUGCAACUGACACUGAGGCUCGAAAGUGUGGGUAUCAAACAGGAUUAGAUACCCUUGUAGUC